RNAcentral lists this ribosomal RNA (119 nucleotides) under Scophthalmus maximus (turbot). Lineage: Eukaryota; Metazoa; Chordata; Actinopteri; Pleuronectiformes; Scophthalmidae. The record is from RNAcentral.
GCUUACGGCCACACCGCCUGGUUCACGCCCGAUCUCGUUUGAUCUCGGAAGCUAAGGUAGGUUGGGCCUGGUUAGUACUUGGAUGGGAGACCGCCUGGGAAUACCAGGUGCUGUAACUU